UACGGCUCAGUAACACGUGGAUAACCUGCCCUAAGGAAGGGGAUAACCUCGGGAAACUGAGGAUAAUACCCUAUAGGAUACCGAUGCUGGAAUGCCCGGUAUCCCAAAGCUCCGGCGCCUUAGGAUGGAUCUGCGGCCGAUUAGGUCGUUGUUGGGGUAACGGCCCAACAAGCCGAUAAUCGGUACGGGUUGUGGGAGCAAGAGCCCGGAGUUGGAUUCUGAGACACGAAUCCAGGCCCUACGGGGCGCAGCAGGCGCGAAAACUUUACAAUGCGGGCAACCGUGAUAAGGGAACCUCGAGUGCCUGUACAUGCAGGCUGUCUGGGUGUCUAAAACACACCCAAAGAAAGGGCCGGGCAAGACCGGUGCCAGCCGCCGCGGUAAUACCGGCGGCUCGAGUGGUGGCCACUUUUAUUGGGCUUAAAGCGUUCGUAGCUGGGUUGUUAAGUCUCUUGGGAAAUCUGGCAGCUUAACUGUCAGGCGUCUAAGAGAUACUGGCAAUCUAGGAACCGGGAGAGGUGAGGGGUACUUCGGGGGUAGGAGUGAAAUCCUGUAAUCCUCGAGGGACCACCUGUGGCGAAGGCGCCUCACCAGAACGGCUUCGACAGUGAGGGACGAAAGCUGGGGGAGCAAACCGGAUUAGAUACCCGGGUAGUCCCAGCCGUAAACGAUGCSCKUUCGGUUUCGAUGACCACGAGUCAUCGAGGUGCCGAAGGGAAACCGUGAAACGCGCCGCCUGGGAAGUAC
RNAcentral lists this ribosomal RNA (747 nucleotides) under uncultured Methanoculleus sp. RNAcentral's name for it is "bacterial SSU rRNA". It matches the Rfam family "Archaeal small subunit ribosomal RNA", at positions 84 to 838 of the family's 1478-position model. Lineage: Archaea; Methanobacteriati; Methanobacteriota; Methanomicrobia; Methanomicrobiales; Methanomicrobiaceae. The record is from RNAcentral.